CAGAGAGACACACACACACACAGAGAGAGAGAGAGAGAGAGAGAGAAUGUUUUGUGUGUUUGUAUGUUGUAUUUAUAACAUUUUUAUGUGUAUUAGAUGGGCUCUAUUAGGGCAAAUGAAAAAAAUUAGAAGGGGCAAAAAAAAAAAGCUGCUUGAUGAUAGUCAGAUUGAUUUUUAAGAAGAGAUGAUCUUUUGAUAAAUCCCUAAAGGUAAGGGGUUAUACAAAAUAUCCUGAUUUAGAAUAUUAGUUUAGAGCAAAAUGUGAUUCAGUUAUCCUUUAAAAAUCCUCCCUACAAAAAUUGAUUGGACACUAACUUUGGUUACUUUUCACGUAGUAGGUCUCUUGACUAGCUCUGUAAUGUUAUAUAUCAUGGGCAAUCUAAAUCGUGGUUGCAAAUUACUUUUCACAUAUUGUGGGAAAGAGAGAGUGGGGACCUGUUUUCUUUUUUCCCUUUUUAUUUCUUUUUUUAGGUGUUGGUUGGCGCAGCUUUGGAUGGAGGGAGAGGGAGAGAGGUUUAGGUGAUGAAGCUCAGAUCGUCAGCAUGCAUGGUGAACCUUCUAGUUUGAAUUUUCGUGAACUUGGUGCUUCAAGAAUCUGUCCAUCUCCUGUCCGACGUCUACUUUAAAACCAUAUGGUUGAUGAAGCUUGCAAAUUCCAGGUUGAGCUCUUUUGGUCCUGGCAGUUUAUUAUGUUGUCCUGCUCCCUUCUUACAUAUACACAGAUUACAGAAUAUAGACCUUAAGAUUUGAUUUUUUUUUUUUAAUAAUAUGCAUGCAAAUGUUCAUUCAAA
Molecule: non-coding RNA, 791 nt
Organism: Elaeis guineensis (African oil palm)
Lineage: Eukaryota; Viridiplantae; Streptophyta; Magnoliopsida; Arecales; Arecaceae
Source: RefSeq, a predicted model, not a curated record